RNAcentral lists this ribosomal RNA (924 nucleotides) under Philometra fujimotoi. Its description in RNAcentral is "SSU rRNA". It matches the Rfam family "Eukaryotic small subunit ribosomal RNA", at positions 51 to 966 of the family's 1831-position model. The record is from RNAcentral. Lineage: Eukaryota; Metazoa; Nematoda; Chromadorea; Rhabditida; Philometridae.
AUGCAUGUCUAAGUUCAUAUUGCCUAUAAUGGUGAAACCGCGAACGGCUCAUUACAACAGCUAUUAUUUACUUGAUUUUGAUUCCAUACGUGGAUAACUGUGGCAAUUCUAGAGCUAAUACAUGCACCAAAGCUCCGACUAUCUGACGAGCGCAUCUAUUAGAUAAAAAACCAAUCGGGACUCAUCCUGUAGUCUCGUCCAUUUGGUGACUCUGAAUAGCUUAGCUGAUCGCAUGGUCCCGUACCGGCGACAUAUCUAUCAAGUAUCUGCCUUAUCAACUUUCGAUGGUAGUUUAUAUGACUACCAUGGUUGUAACGGGUAACGGAGAAUAAGGGUUCGACUCCGGAGAGGGAGCCUGAGAAACGGCUACCACUUCCAAGGAAGGCAGCAGGCGCGCAAAUUACCCACUCUCAGCACAGAGGAGGUAGUGACGAAAAAUAACGAGACCGUACUCGAUGAGGCCGGUUAUCGGAAUGGGUACAAUUUAAACCCGUUAACGAGGAUCUAUGAGAGGGCAAGUCUGGUGCCAGCAGCCGCGGUAAUUCCAGCUCUCAAAGUGUAUAUCGGCAUUGCUGCGGUUAAAAAGCUCGUAGUUGGAUUUCAGCCUUACGACGUGGUCCAUUCAUUGAAUGCGAACUACGCCUCGUAGGCUAUUUUAAUGUUGGUUUUUCCUUACGUUGCUCUCAUCGGCUGCGUAAGGUGGCUAACGAGUUUACCUUGAAAAAAUUAGAGUGCUCAACGCGGGCUAACGCCUGAAUACUCGUGCAUGGAAUAAUGGAAUAGGAUCUCGGUUCUAUUUUGUUGGUUUUCUGAUCUGAGAUAAUGGUUAAGAGGGACAGACGGGGGCAUUCGUAUCGCUGCGUGAGAGGUGAAAUUCUUGGACCGUAGCGAGACGUCCCACUGCGAAAGCAUUUGCCAAGAAUG